UGGUUUAAUUCGAUGCAACGCGAAGAACCUUACCUGGUCUUGACAUCCACGGAAGUUUUCAGAGAUGAGAAUGUGCCUUCGGGAACCGUGAGACAGGUGCUGCAUGGCUGUCGUCAGCUCGUGUUGUGAAAUGUUGGGUUAAGUCCCGCAACGAGCGCAACCCUUAUCCUUUGUUGCCAGCGGUCCGGCCGGGAACUCAAAGGAGACUGCCAGUGAUAAACUGGAGGAAGGUGGGGAUGACGUCAAGUCAUCAUGGCCCUUACGACCAGGGCUACACACGUGCUACAAUGGCGCAUACAAAGAGAAGCGACCUCGCGAGAGCAAGCGGACCUCAUAAAGUGCGUCGUAGUCCGGAUUGGAGUCUGCAACUCGACUCCAUGAAGUCGGAAUCGCUAGUAAUCGUGGAUCAGAAUGCCACGGUGAAUACGUUCCCGGGCCUUGUACACACCGCCCGUCACACCAUGGGAGUGGGUUGCAAAAGAAGUAGGUAGCUUAACCUUCGGGAGGGCGCUUACCACUUUGUGAUUCAUGACUGGGGUGAAGUCGUAACAAGGUAACCGUAGGGGAACCUGCGGUUGGAUCACCUCCUUA
Molecule: ribosomal RNA, 591 nt
Filed under: Escherichia coli
Lineage: Bacteria; Pseudomonadati; Pseudomonadota; Gammaproteobacteria; Enterobacterales; Enterobacteriaceae
Also listed under: 1 other name
Description: bacterial SSU rRNA
Rfam family: Bacterial small subunit ribosomal RNA
Source: RNAcentral